GGUGGGGUGGCAGAGCGGUUGAAUGUACCGGUCUUGAAAACCGGCAGACCCGUCAGGGUCUCGAGGGUUCGAAUCCCUCCCCCACCG
This 87-nucleotide transfer RNA is filed under the name bacterium. RNAcentral describes it as "tRNA-Ser". It matches the Rfam family "tRNA". Rfam says of the family: Transfer RNA (tRNA) molecules are approximately 80 nucleotides in length. Their secondary structure includes four short double-helical elements and three loops (D, anti-codon, and T loops). The record is from RNAcentral. RNAcentral also lists the same sequence under 3 other names.